UGAUAAAUCUCAGAACAUUAAGAUAAGUACAUCAGGAAAUAUUGUCAAUAGCCAGAGGGGGAAAAAAAAAAAAAAACCCCUUUUGUAUUUUUUUAUUCUAAAUCUGUUACACUGGAGAGUCAGAGACGUUCAGAUCCAAUUGCAGUAUUUAUUAACAGAGUGGUCAGACAGGUGGAAAUCAGGAAUGUUGUCAGGUAUGUCAGGGGUAACCAGAAUCGAAACCAGAAACAAGCAGAGAUCGGGGCAGGCAGCAGAGAAUCAGAGUCAGAAUACACAAUCCAGAAGUCAGACACGGAAGAACAAACAAAGGGAAAACGCUCGGAAAUGUUAGACGGGCUGAACAAGACUUCGCAGUGUGAUGGUGUGAGUGUGCUGCUUAUAUGGGUGUGUGUGUAUUAGCUGCAGGUGUGUGUGCAAUCAGUCCCAGGAGUGAGGCAGGAUGGGAAAUGGAGUUCUGAAUGAGUCCUGAGUGGAGUGCCCUCUACUGAAGCUCACAGGCACUCCACCUAGAGAUCGUGACAUAGCCCCCCCACAAGGAGCGGCUUCCAGACGCUCUAUACAGUCUUGGAGGGCGGUGGAGCGGAGGCGGAACAGGGGGAGGGAUGGAGGGCCUGGUCCAUGUGGAAGUGGAAUGGCUGGCGACCAAGGCAGAGCCGACGGAACAGGAGUCCACCGGGGCGGAGCAGGCGGAACUGGAGCCCACCAGGGCGGAGCAAGGAGCCCCCACCGCUGAGCAGAUGGGAUAGAAGCCCACCAGGGCGGAGCAGACGGGACAGAAGUUGACCAGGGCGGAGCAGAGAACCAACACAGCUGAGCAGAGGAGACAGAAGCCCGCCAGGGCGGAGCAGAGGACCACCACAGUGGAGUCAACCGUACAGGAGAGCCAGUCUGGUCAGGUGGGACUGAAACAGAGAACAUAAACAGGUUAAUGGCGGCCUCCGUGGUCGUGAUGAGGUGGUUAGAGAGUUCCCAAACGGCCUCCAUAGCUGUGACAGGGCCGGCAGAGAGUUCACAGCCGGUCUCCAUGGCCGUGACAGGGUAGGACGAGAGUUCAUAGACGGCUCCUUAGCCGUGACAGGGCAGGCAAUGAGUUCAUAGACGGCCUCCGUGGCCGUGACAGGAUGGGCGGUGAGUUGGUGGAUGACCUCCUUGGCCAUGACAGGACGAGAGUUCCUGGAUGGAUUCUACUGACACCUCCGAAGGUUCUGCAGCAGUUACAGUCUCCUUGACAUCAAUACAACAGGCUGAGAGAACCUUGCUUGGUGCAACAGACAGGCUGUGACGAGGCUCUGGAUGAUCUGUUGUGGUAUGAUGAAACUCUGGAAGAUUGGUAGUGAUUUGACUGGCCUCAUAAAGUUUAACUGUGACUUGACCUUGUUCACUAAGAUCCACGGCGGCGUGACCUUGUUCACUAAGGUCAGCGGGGACCUGACCUGACUCUGGACGGUCAGCGGGGACCUGACCUGACUCUGGACGGUCAGCGGGAACCUGACCUGACUCUGGGACGGUCAGCGGGAACCUGACCUGACUCGGGACGGUCAGCGGGAACCUGACCUGACUCUGGACGGCCUGUGGAGUCGCGAAGGUGCUCUGGACGGCCUCUGGAGACGUGAAGCGCCUCGGCUUCGGGAACCAUCUCGGGCACCGCAUCGGACACCGCCUCGGGCACCACCUCGGGAAUGGCCUCAGACCCCGCCUCGGCCACCGCAUCGGGAACGGCCUCGGGCACCGCCUCGGCCUCCGGGACGGCAGCGGGCUGCUCGGGAACGGCCUCCGGGACGGCAGCGGGCUGCUCGGGAACGGCCUCCGGGCCUUGAGGAACGGUUGAUGCCUGUCUCCUCCUCCGCCCUCUAUGACGGCGAGUCGGUGGUACCUUGUCCGGAGACUCAGGCAUUGAGUCGGCCAUCUUGUGCUGUGGCGCUGGGCUGGCGGCCAUCUUGUGCUGUGGCGCUGGGCUGGCGGCCAUCUUGUGCUGUGGCGCUGGGCUGGCGGCCAUCUUGUGCUGUGGCGCUGGGCUGGCGGCCAUGACAGGAUGAGUCUCAGGAGCGGUGGCCAUUUUGCGAACCGCCUCCGGGCUGGUAGCCAUUUCGUGGAGAGACUUUGGGGUUUUAAAGUCCUCUGCCUCUCCCACAGUGAAAGGAGAACCAC
Molecule: long non-coding RNA, 2148 nt
Organism: Cyprinus carpio carpio
Lineage: Eukaryota; Metazoa; Chordata; Actinopteri; Cypriniformes; Cyprinidae
Source: Ensembl